RNAcentral lists this ribosomal RNA (253 nucleotides) under uncultured bacterium. Its description in RNAcentral is "partial 16S ribosomal RNA". It matches the Rfam family "Bacterial small subunit ribosomal RNA", at positions 524 to 776 of the family's 1533-position model. The record is from RNAcentral.
UACGUAGGGGGCAAGCGUUGUCCGGAUUUAUUGGGCGUAAAGAGCGUGUAGGCGGUUCGGUAGGUCCGUUGUGAAAACUCGAGGCUCAACCUCGAGACGCCGAUGGAAACCCCCGAACUAGAGUCCGGAAGAGGAGAAUGGAAUUCCUGGUGUAGCGGUGAAAUGCGCAGAUAUCAGGAGGAACACCGGCGGCGAAGGCGAGUCUCUGGACAUUUCCUGACGCUGAGGCACGAAAGCCAGGGGAGCAAACGGG